CGCUGGCGGCGUGCUUAACACAUGCAAGUCGAACGGGAGGAAAAGAGAAGCUUGCUUCUUUUUGAAUCUAGUGGCAAACGGGUGAGUAACACGUAAACAACCUGCCUUCAGGAUGGGGACAACAGACGGAAACGACUGCUAAUACCGAAUGUGUUCCGGAGACCGCAUGAUUUCCGGAAGAAAGGAUGGCCUCUAUUUAUAAGCUAUCGCCUGAAGAGGGGUUUGCGUCUGAUUAGGCAGUUGGUGAGGUAACGGCCCACCAAACCUACGAUCAGUAGCCGGUCUGAGAGGAUGAACGGCCACACUGGAACUGAGACACGGUCCAGACUCCUACGGGAGGCAGCAGUGGGGAAUCUUCCGCAAUGGACGAAAGUCUGACGGAGCAACGCCGCGUGAGUGAUGACGGCCUUCGGGUUGUAAAGCUCUGUGAUCGGGGACGAAUGGCUGGUAUGCUAAUACCAUAUCAGAGUGACGGUACCCGAAUAGCAAGCCACGGCUAACUACGUG
Molecule: ribosomal RNA, 507 nt
Filed under: uncultured bacterium
Lineage: Bacteria
Description: bacterial SSU rRNA
Rfam family: Bacterial small subunit ribosomal RNA
Source: RNAcentral